CUUUGCUGUUUUGACUUUCUCAUUUGUUUUUGACCCUAGGCUAGUCCUAGUGGUCUUUUGGACUUACAAUUGAGUUAAUGUUUCAGGUUAAGCACCAAUGCCUCAAAGAUCAUUCAAACUUGUUUGAACUUGAUUGUUUACCAUGUGCUAACCUUUGUUUUGUAGGUGUGACUCAUGUGUUUGAGUCUUGCUUUGCACAGUUGAU
RNAcentral lists this long non-coding RNA (205 nucleotides) under Lathyrus oleraceus (garden pea). Its description in RNAcentral is "Pisum sativum (pea) long non-coding RNA (PSAT_LNC001393)". The record is from RNAcentral. Lineage: Eukaryota; Viridiplantae; Streptophyta; Magnoliopsida; Fabales; Fabaceae.